CUUUGGAGGUCGUUAUUAGACUAGAGGCUUUGGAGGUCGUUAUUAGACUAGAGGCUUUGGAGGUCGUUAUUAGACUAGAGGCUUUGGAGGUCGUUAUUAGACUAGAGGCUUUGGAGGUCGUUAUUAGACUAGAGGCUUUGGAGGUCGUUAUUAGACUGUAGCGGUAGAGGCUUUGGAGGUCGUUAUUAGACUAGAGGCUUUGGAGGUCGUUAUUAGACUGUAGCGGUAGAGGCUUUGGAGGUCGUUAUUAGA
Oncorhynchus keta (chum salmon) is the source of this 252-nucleotide long non-coding RNA. RefSeq lists it as uncharacterized. NCBI's taxonomy places the organism in Eukaryota, Metazoa, Chordata, Actinopteri, Salmoniformes, Salmonidae. The record is from RefSeq and is a predicted model, not a curated record. The transcript has 3 exons.